GGAGAGGUGGCCGAGCGGCUUAAGGCGGCAGUCUCGAAAACUGCUAUGCGGGAAACCGCAUCGGGGGUUCAAAUCCCCCCCUCUCCG
RNAcentral lists this transfer RNA (87 nucleotides) under Elusimicrobiota bacterium. Its description in RNAcentral is "tRNA-Ser". It matches the Rfam family "tRNA". Rfam says of the family: Transfer RNA (tRNA) molecules are approximately 80 nucleotides in length. Their secondary structure includes four short double-helical elements and three loops (D, anti-codon, and T loops). The record is from RNAcentral. Lineage: Bacteria; Pseudomonadati; Elusimicrobiota.